GGAUGACUGACGAAGAUGAUGGAGAAGAUGAUUGAGACGUGUCGGUGAUGGAUUGCGAGACCCCCCGUGUUGUCACCGAUACGUCGGUCCGGACAGAGACGGGGGUCAUGGGCUUGGAAAUGAUUCACCUCACGAACAGAACCUGGUGUGGGAGAGAAUGGGGGGACAGAGAGAGAGACAGGG
This is a long non-coding RNA of Amblyraja radiata (thorny skate), 183 nucleotides long. RefSeq lists it as uncharacterized. The transcript has 3 exons. NCBI's taxonomy places the organism in Eukaryota, Metazoa, Chordata, Chondrichthyes, Rajiformes, Rajidae. The record is from RefSeq and is a predicted model, not a curated record.